This is a long non-coding RNA of Salvia miltiorrhiza (redroot sage), 740 nucleotides long. RefSeq lists it as uncharacterized. The record is from RefSeq and is a predicted model, not a curated record. The transcript is spliced from 3 exons. Lineage: Eukaryota; Viridiplantae; Streptophyta; Magnoliopsida; Lamiales; Lamiaceae.
UAGAUAAGUUAUUUUUUUCAUCUUUUGCUAAUGAUGUACACGUCUCUCUCCACCAACUCUUACUUUUUCCAACUCCACCACCCUUUGCUCCACCAACUAUCAGCCACCACUCCACCAUCAUUUGCUUUCCACCCAACAAAUGCAAUGCUUGGCUUCAAUGCUUUCUUCUUCUUUGAUUAAGUUCACCUGAAAUAAAACAAGAACCAUCGUUCAUUACAGUUAAUCUCCUAUUAAAACCAAUCUACUAUAGCAAACAGUACAGCAACUAAGCCAAAUAACUUCAAGGUGAGUUUUAUAUCUUUUAACUCUACCAUUUCUGCCAGAGUUUUCUUCAUUCGUGUAAGCAAAGGCACCUUCAAUUUAUUUCAGUUUCUAUCCACUGAUUCAAUCACACAGCAGCCACCCAAGCACAAGGAUCCACAGGUCAAGCGCGAGAGUAAGAACUACACAAGGAGUUAGAGUACCUUAGCAAAACUUUGCUAUCAGGUUGAGCUGUGAUGGGCGAUGAAGUGUUGUUGCUGAGUGGAGUUUUUGUCGAACUUAAAGUAGGCUCAGAAAGGAUACAUGUCUUCAUACAUGUAUCUCAGUUAUGCAUUCCGCUGUAAACACUGAUUAUUUCAGUUACACCUUCCGUUGCAAACUCUGAUAAUGUUUUUAGCCAAGCCCCUAACGAUGCCUUUUUCCUUUUAAGGAAUAUAACGCUUAUACAAAUUCGUUGAGUACCCUUUUUAUGCGAACUA